AAGUCGUAACAAGGUUUCCGUAGGUGAACCUGCGGAAGGAUCAUUAUUGAAUAAAUCUGGCGUUGGUUGUAGCUGGCUCUCCGGAGCAUGUGCACACCUCGUCACCUUUAUCUUUCCACCUGUGCACACACUGUAGUCCUGGAUACCUCUCGCUGCAAAGCGGAUGCGGGGCUUGCUGCUGCUUAUCGGCUCAGCUUGCUCUGAAUUUCCAGGUCUAUGAUUUUUUCAUACACCCCAAACGAAUGUUAUAGAAUGUCAUAUCAUUGGGCCUUGUGCCUAUAAACCUUAUACAACUUUCAACAACGGAUCUCUUGGCUCUC
Molecule: unclassified non-coding RNA, 320 nt
Filed under: Coprinopsis sp.
Lineage: Eukaryota; Fungi; Basidiomycota; Agaricomycetes; Agaricales; Psathyrellaceae
Description: partial internal transcribed spacer region
Rfam family: Eukaryotic small subunit ribosomal RNA (bases 1-46)
Source: RNAcentral